GAUGAAGAACGUAGCGAAAUGCGAUAAGUAAUGUGAAUUGCAGAAUUCAGUGAAUCAUCGAAUCUUUGAACGCACAUUGCGCCCACUGGUAUUCCGGGGGGCAUGCCUGUCCGAGCGUCAUUACAACCCUCAAGCUCAGCUUGGUGUUGGGCCCCGCCGCCCCGGCGGGCCCUAAAGUCAGUGGCGGUGCCGUCCGGCUCCGAGCGUAGUAAUUCUUCUCGCUCUGGAGGUCCGGUCGUGUGCUCGCCAGCAACCCCCAAUUUUUUUCAGGUUGACCUCGGAUCAGGUAGGGAUACCCGCUGAACUUAAGCAUAUCAAUAAGCGGAGGA
Molecule: unclassified non-coding RNA, 329 nt
Filed under: soil metagenome
Description: partial contains 5.8S ribosomal RNA, internal transcribed spacer 2, and large subunit ribosomal RNA
Rfam family: 5.8S ribosomal RNA (bases 1-120)
Source: RNAcentral